Molecule: long non-coding RNA, 1098 nt
Organism: Triticum dicoccoides
Lineage: Eukaryota; Viridiplantae; Streptophyta; Magnoliopsida; Poales; Poaceae
Exons: 3
Source: RefSeq, a predicted model, not a curated record
GAUCCUCUUUUGAUGGACGCGAGACCAGGUCGCAGCCCCCGCCACUCCUCCUCUACUGCGGCAGGUACGUCCGUGUACAGCGAGGUGCAGACGAGCCGCAUCGCGCACGCGGUGCCCCUCCCCUCCAUCCUCCGCUCCCACUUCACGCUCGCUGAUGGGCCUGCCAGCACCGCCGCGGGGUUACUCUUUCCUGGGAUGCGUCGCUCCCCGAUCUCGGCUUGCUGGAUCGCGGGCUUGGGCGGGUUUGAAUUCGGGAUUUCACGGUCGGCAUUCCCCUGCUCCAGGCUGUGGUCGCAGCCCUGCUGCUGGAUGAUGUAAGCUGGUGUUUGAGAUUGCGGCCGCCAAACAGACAACACGGACGCCGCUGCCGCCCGCUGCUCCUCAUCGUGUGCACCUACGAAGCUGCUGCUAAUUAAGGAGGAACGCUCACGAAGGUGCACCCAACACGUGUUUGCGGCGGUUGUGAAGGCAGGAGAAGAUGUGGAUGGGUUCUCACCAAGUUUCUGUGGCUCACGGUGUUCAUCCGACUCUCUAACUAGAAGAUGAGUUACCAUGACUUCUACAUCAAAGGUUGGGUUUUUUAGCAGUUUGUUGGUGCGUGCCUACUUACUAAUUUGAUUUGAUAAUUCAACCAAGGGAACUGCCGAUAGGGUGUGAAUGAAGUUGUUAAUAUGAUUUCUUUCGUGUGUGUCCUACUGAUAGAUCUCUAAACUUGCAUUUCUCUACUAUUGUUGUCUAUGAGAGCUGUUGUGGUGGAUAAGGCCAACCUGCACCGAUGUAAACUUCAGAUUGAGCUUACAACAUGGCGAGGGAUAACCUUGAUUUCUGCAUGAGUUACAUCUUGUAAUGGUACUUCUUUCAGCAACUACUUUCGAAGGUCUGCUACUGUCAUUUCAUGGUGCGCUUUUCUUUUGAAAAUUGUCGAAGGAAACCAAGGCAGAAAACAAUUGCCCGUGAACUGAUGCUAGAAAUGCAGGAAAUUUGUCACCGUGAUCUUAAACUGUAAAGGACUCUCUUGGAUGAGAGUCCAACAUCUCGUGGGAAAGUUUGCAACUUUGGGUACUCAAAGGUGCUAAUAGUUAUGUUAUGUAUAAUGUA